UGUCACUUCUGCUGGACUACCAUAGCAUUUAGGGGGUUUUAACCCCCCCCCUCCCCCCCCGGCCUGUCCAUUAGGAUGCCAAAGGUAUUUGUUAUGUGAAAGGUUGCCAUAAAGAGAAUUCCUCCCCCCGUCCAUUAGGAUGCCAAAGGUAUUUGUUAUGUGAAAGGUUGCCAUAAAGAGAAUUCCUCCCCCCGUCCAUUAGGAUGCCAAAGGUAUUUGUUACCUGAAAGUUUGCCAUAAAGAGAAUUCCUCCCCCGUCCAUUAGGAUGCCAAAGGUAUUUGUUACGUGAAAGGUUGCCAUAAAGAGAAUUCCUCCCCCCGUCCAUUAGGAUGCCAAAGGUAUUUGUCACGUGAAAGGUUGCCAUAAAGAGAAUUCCUCCUCCCCGUCCAUUAGGAUGCCAAAGGUAUUUGUUACGUGAAAGGUUGCCAUUAAGAGAAUUCCUCCCCCCGUCCAUUAGGAUGCCAAAGGUAUUUGUUACGUGAAAGGUUGCCAUAAAGUGAAUUCCUCCCCCGUCCAUUAGGAUGCCUAAGGUAUUUGUUACGUGAAAGGUUGCCAUAAAGAGAAUUCCUCCCCCCCCCCCCCCCACCGUCCAUUAGGAUGCCAAAGGUAUUUGUUACGUGAAAGGUUGCCAUAAAGUGAAUUCCUCCCCCGUCCAUUAGGAUGCCUAAGGUAUUUGUUACGUGAAAGGUUGCCAUAAAGAGAAUUCCUCCUCCCCGUCCAUUAGGAUGCCAAAGGUAUUUGUUACGUGAAAGGUUGCCAUUAAGAGAAUUCCUCCCCCCGUCCACCAUUAGGAUGCCAAAGGUAUUUGUUACGUGAAAGGUUGCCAUAAAGUGAAUUCCUCCCCCGUCCAUUAGGAUGCCUAAGGUAUUUGUUACGUGAAAGGUUGCCAUAAAGAGAAUUCUUCCCCCCCCCCCCCCCACCGGCCAUUAGGAUGCCAAAGGUAUUUGUUAUGUGAAAGGUUGCCAUAAAGAGAAUUCCUCCCCCCGUCCAUUAGGAUGCCAAAGGUAUUUGUCACGUGAAAGGUUGCCAUAAAGAGAAUUCCUCCCCCCCUCCAUAAGGAUGCCAAUGGUAUUUGUUACGUGAAAGGUUGC
Long non-coding RNA from Nematostella vectensis (starlet sea anemone), 1092 nucleotides. RefSeq lists it as uncharacterized. Lineage: Eukaryota; Metazoa; Cnidaria; Anthozoa; Actiniaria; Edwardsiidae. The transcript is spliced from 2 exons. The record is from RefSeq and is a predicted model, not a curated record.